AUGGACCUCGUGGGCAGGCACGUGCAACAGCGCUGGUUCCUCCUCUUUCUGGUGGCAGCUCCUGGAUGUGUUCUGUCCCAGGUACAGCUGCAUCAGUCGGGACCAAGCCUGGUGCCACACGCACAGACGCUGUCCCUCACGUGGUCUGUCUCUGGAUUCUUUCUAACCACCUAUGCUGUGGACUGGGUCCGCCAGGCCCCUGGAAACCGCCUGGAUUGGAUUGGCAGUAUGUGGAAUAAUGGAGAAACACGCUAUAACCCAAGUCUUCAGUCCCGAGUCAGAAUCUCCAAGGACAACUCCAAGAACCAAGUUUACCUAAAACUGAGCAACUCAGUAACUGAGGACACAGCCGUGUAUUCUUGUGCAAGACGCACAGUUUCAGCAUGA
Molecule: non-coding RNA, 387 nt
Organism: Sorex araneus (European shrew)
Lineage: Eukaryota; Metazoa; Chordata; Mammalia; Eulipotyphla; Soricidae
Source: the annotation of a RefSeq genome assembly